AACAGAAAUGAUGAGCUCAUGAUACCGCCCCAGUCUGAACUUUCAUGACUGAUUGGUUGACUCUGAUCUUGAA
Molecule: small nucleolar RNA, 73 nt
Organism: Hippocampus comes (tiger tail seahorse)
Lineage: Eukaryota; Metazoa; Chordata; Actinopteri; Syngnathiformes; Syngnathidae
Source: Ensembl